AUUCCUCUGACAGGGUUCAAAGGCACAAAUGGAGGCUCCCAGGAUGCUCUUGUGGUUCAGACACUGGACUGGCACUGAGAUGAUCUGGAUUCAAAUCCUCUGCCACAGGCUCCGUGGGUGACCUUGGACGCCAUUGGGAGUUCGGUCACGUUCUGCUGGGACAGGUUUGCCAUGAAGACACCAAUCUUGCUUUGUGAAGCCCUGAUCUUCCUAUGGAGAAGCAAGAUUUUGAUUUUUAGCAGUGACUUCUGUUCAAGGAUUGAUGUGAUGAGUCCAGUUAUUCAUCUUGGUGUUUUGUGCCCUUUCAUCUGGGUCGCGAAAACCCUUCAGCAAGAUCAAAGAAGGGCAUGUUUAGUGGAGCCGCAAACGUCUGCUCUGGUCAGCAAAAGCUCAGCCAACCUGAGUGAAUGCAGUUUGUCCAGAUUAGGGCCCAGAUCUGCAAAAGUAUUUAGGUGAUUUCAAUGGGAUGCAGGCACCUAACUCCCUUAGGAUGUCUGGGUCUAGGCCCCUGGUUCCCACAUAGAUCUCCCCAUCUCCUCUCCAACUUCCCCUCUCCUCAGGCCCCAGGGUUCUCCUUACUCACCACUCAUGUCUUUGGUAGGGAGAAGGGCAAUGGCGACCUGACCCUGCUACGUCCUGAACUCUCCAGUGUCUUUGGAGAGGGCAGCCAGGGCACUGGGGUACUAGCUGUCCGAGUGGUGUAAUGGUGCAGGGGAAUUACCCAGGCCAUUUCCUGCCAUUGCUGGAGAUUUAGGGAGCAGCAGUGACCCUGCAGAGGUGGGGGAGCAGCAAGCUGGCAGGUCCUGAACACUCUACAGCAGAGGCCCAAUAGCUCCAGGAGGCAGCAAUGAGGAAAGAAGUCAAGCUACUCACCCUGCCCAAGAUAUCAUUGGUAAGUAGGUGUCCCCUGGGCAUGGAAAGCUGGCUGUGUACAGUUGGCAAAUGGAGAUGAGAACUGAGGGUGAUUUCAUGGAAACUUAGACGCAUAGCAAACAAGCACCGCCCCCAACAAGCAGUCCUCCAACCAGGAGGGUCAUGUGACCUGCAUGAUUCAAACCCGCCUUGUUUGUGCAGCCAUAGGUUUUCUGUACAUUUCCACACAUGACAGUGUCACACUCCCAAGAAGGCACUUUUGGUUAAAAACCCCUCUUGGCAGGUGCUAAUAACUUUUAAAGAAACAGUUUAAACUCUUCUGGGGCAUCAAGUCUCCAGCCUUUUCUCGACCAAUGGGGACAUUUGUUAGGAACAUGUGGUUCAGUUUUAUUCAGCUGUUUGAAUUAUCCCAGUGUGGGGAAAUGGCAUUUCCCACAGCUUCAUGUUUUUCUGUUGCCCUUUUGAGCUCUCAGCUUUAAAAAACCAAACCCCACAAAAUCUCCUUUAAAAACUUCAAACUUGCCCUCAGCUCAAUUCAGUGGAGACUCGUGCUUCUGCUCAUGUAUCUCAGAGAAAAGAGGCCCUGUGCUAUUAAUACGUCUGAAGAAACUGGAUUUAGACAUAUCAAAGUCCCAAGUCUUUAAAGAACUGCACACUGUAGCUGUGCACUACACAAUUUCCUCCUAGCUUUCAACAAAUGGUGCAGUGCUCUAGGGCCUGAAUAUACAUGUGAUCUCACUGGUUGGCUCUGAUUCAGCAAGGCACAUCAGCACAGGUCUAACUUUAAGCACCUGAGUAGUCUCAUUGACUCUAAUGUGCUUAAAAUUAGGCACAGGCAUUUGCUGACUUGGGACCUUAAAUAGCUGCUGCCUUCCAUCUUAAGGACUAGAUUUUGGCAUCCUUACUCCCAUUGAGUUGCACCUUAUUAUGCCAGCAGUUGGUUACAUUUAAGUGCUGGGUGACGUGUAUGUAAUAGGAGCUUGAUCUUGUAGUCUUCAUGUAAGCAGACAUCUCAUUGAAUUUGAUGGAAGUUGUGCCUAUAUAGGAAUUCUGGAUUGGGUGGUCUGAUGGGGUGUUUAUCAAACAGCAGAAAGGAAGGGGUUGAAAGCAAUCUGUGGCGGUCGUGCAGGGAGCAGCCAAUCAGAGAGUGGCUGCACGGAGCAGCCAAUCGGGGUCAAGUGGGCUUACAUAAAAGAAGCUGCAGGGCCAGAGACAGUCAGGGGCUGCAGGGAACCCAAGGAGAGAGGACUGUGUUCCUAGCGAGUUGCAGGAAAGUAGUACCUUGGACAGAGCAGUUGUUGACAGGGACCGGGGAGUAAGAGGGAGCCCCUAACUGGCUGCUAGGACUUGUGGGCUGGAGGCCUUGAGAAGAGGGCAAAGAAGGUGCUGGGGUCCCAGGGAAGUGGCCCAGGGAAUAGAAGCAGCUUGGAGCGGUGUUAAAGAGACGCAGCAGGAGGUUGCUACCUACAGGGUCCCUGGGUCGGGACCCAGAGUAGAGGAAGGGCCUGGGUCCCUCCUACUUGCCACUGGGGAAGUGGCUGAACUACAGAACUAGGAGAUUCUUAACUCCCCCUGCCCUGGGAAGGGUGAAGGUAUGGAUGGUGGUACAGCCAAGUCAUGAAAAGGACACUGUGGUUCCUGGGCUGAGACAGCUCUGCAGGUGGAGAAGGCGGUGGAAAUUUUUUUUUCCUUUCCUUUAAUGGAAAAUUAUUCAGAUUCUAGCCAAACAUGUUUUUCUAAUUAAGCAGACUAUUUUGCAUUUCUAUUUGCAUAUGAAAAAUAACCUCACCAUAAAUACAACAAAUCUCCUUCCCAACAUAGUGUUUGCGAGCUGGCUCUCUGGGGGUUAGAUCCAUCUUUGUUUUUUCUGGGCUUUAGCAGGGGAAUCUCCCCACUGCAGCUGGGUGCUUUACUUCCACAGACUUCAGUGCUACCAUACAAGUAACAAGAUGAGAACUCAGGAGUAGCCCUAGGUUUCUAUGGCAAAGCAUAUACAGCAGCCACCUUCAUUAUCUUUCAUACUUGAUCUGUAGAAAUUGGUUUUGUCAAUUUUGAUUUCAGCCAAGCACAGUAGGAUAAACAAAGGAAAGUACAAGAGAAGCAGAUGGUUUGUUGAAGAGUGCAGGGCAAUCAGGAAGUAUGUGCAUUUUUUUUAUAGCCUGUAAUGGUCUUGCCUGCCUGCCUGUCUCCAUGUAAAUCCUGAAAUGAAUUGGGCUUGUGGAAUAUUUUUGAAAUAAAAGAAAUCUCUUACAAUGAGUCUGGAAUAUUAGUGCGCAGAAGUUGCUGGGAUUGUUGCUGGAAUAUUAGAUCAGAUGACCAAAGAAUUUUAAACCCUGCUAAACAUUGAGGGCAGAGUUUUCUUCUCAGAUCCACAGUGUUGAUGUUAACACCAAUAUUCUUCUCUCCCUUCAGAUACAUAACUCCCACUAAUAUCAUAUGUCUCAGCAUACUUCUCCUGUCUUAUCAUGUCAGCCAAGACCUUUUUAAAUUUACCAUUGGCUUCCUCUGGCAAAGAAGGAAGAAGAAGCAGGGAAGGGAGACAUAUCUCAGGGCCCUAGUCAUGCAGGGAGCUGCUGGCUGGUGAACUCCGGUGUGCACAUCCUCCUAAUCUAUGCAAUAUUUGGUAGGAAUGUGUGGGAGUUUUCCUUUAAGCUUUCUCCAAAAUCUUUGUGAAAUCAGUGAUUUCCACAAUGAGCUCUAAUACUAUUGAGCUGCUGUGCUAAAAUUCACACACUGCAUUUUAGUUCCUUGGCCCCCGUAGCCCCAUGUAUCCUUGGCUAAUUUGAACAAAUGUCCCUUGUCAUGCUGAUAGAUGUGCACAGACCCCCACAUAACUCCAGUCCACCCUGACUCCACUUGUGAGCACCAGGGAGCACAUGGGCUCCAGCUGAAAUCCCUUUUAUGUACUCCCAGGAAAUAUUUUCACAACUGAAGUUUUGUUUAUAGGAAUGCUGAUAGAAAGAGGGAGUGUCGUGAAAACCUGUCUGGAUAUAGAUUCAUAAGUAUUCAAGCUGGAAGUGUUCAGGGGCCAUUGAAGGUAACUUAUGGGUUUAAGAAUUAUCCAAUCAAGGCACAGAAACGGUACCAUGUUGCUUGAGUGAUCAGAUCACAUGUUGCUAAUAUUUAUUUGCAAAUACAGUACUUGAAUAGUUUGCAAACAAUCCAGCCUCUCAGAGUUGGUAAGACAACUCCCACCUGUUUAUGCUCUCUGUA
Molecule: long non-coding RNA, 4086 nt
Organism: Trachemys scripta elegans
Lineage: Eukaryota; Metazoa; Chordata; Testudines; Emydidae
Exons: 3
Source: RefSeq, a predicted model, not a curated record